This 427-nucleotide ribosomal RNA is filed under the name uncultured Conexibacter sp. RNAcentral's name for it is "bacterial SSU rRNA". It matches the Rfam family "Bacterial small subunit ribosomal RNA", at positions 355 to 774 of the family's 1533-position model. Lineage: Bacteria; Bacillati; Actinomycetota; Thermoleophilia; Solirubrobacterales; Conexibacteraceae. The record is from RNAcentral.
UGGGGAAUCUUGCGCAAUGCGCGAAAGCGUGACGCAGCAACGCCGCGUGGGGGAAGAAGGCCUUCGGGUUGUAAACCCCUUUCAGUUGGGACGAAGCUUCGCCGGUGAAUAGCCGGCUGGAGUGACGGUACCUUCAGAAGAAGCCCCGGCUAACUACGUGCCAGCAGCCGCGGUAAUACGUAGGGGGCAAGCGUUGUCCGGAAUCAUUGGGCGUAAAGAGCGUGUAGGCGGCUCGGUAAGUCCGCUGUGAAAGUCCAGGGCUCAACCCUGGAAUGCCGGUGGAAACUGUCGAGCUAGAGUCCGGAAGAGGCGAGUGGAAUUCCUGGUGUAGCGGUGAAAUGCGCAGAUAUCAGGAGGAACACCAAUGGCGAAGGCAGCUCGCUGGGACGGUACUGACGCUGAGACGCGAAAGCGUGGGGAGCAAACA